Molecule: ribosomal RNA, 253 nt
Filed under: uncultured bacterium
Lineage: Bacteria
Description: partial 16S ribosomal RNA
Rfam family: Bacterial small subunit ribosomal RNA
Source: RNAcentral
GACGAAGGAUGCAAGCGUUAUCCGGAUUCAUUGGGUUUAAAGGGAGCGUAGGCGGCUUGAUAAGUCAGUGGUGAAAUCUUCUCGCUUAACGAGAAAACUGCCAUUGAUACUGUCAAGCUUGAGUACAGUUGCCGUUGGCGGAAUAUGACAUGUAGUGGUGAAAUACAUAGAGAUGUCAUAGAACACCGAUUGCGAAGGCAGCUAACGAAACUGUAACUGACGCUGAGGCUCGAAAGUGCGGGGAUCAAACAGG